Long non-coding RNA from Hyla sarda, 544 nucleotides. RefSeq lists it as uncharacterized. The transcript is spliced from 3 exons. Lineage: Eukaryota; Metazoa; Chordata; Amphibia; Anura; Hylidae. The record is from RefSeq and is a predicted model, not a curated record.
UUCCUCUGCACAGGUUUUGAUAAAUCUCCCCCAUUGUACUUCUUUAGCAGUCAGCGCAAAAGAUUUAAAAUGUCUAAACGGUAGAACAGGUUGCUGUAAAGAGAAAAGGUUACAUUCAAGGUAACCUUAUCGUAAUUGUAGAUCGAGGACUGGAAUGGCAGAAAGCCCUAUUGUUUUCUGGAUAAGCCAAGAUAAACAAGGCCUAGACCUGUGUUCCCUAACCCGUGGCUCUCCAGCUGUUUCAGAACUACAUCACCCAUCAUUCCCGAACGAGUGGAAAGGCCAUAGAUUGGGGAAAACCGGCCUAGAUGAACAGGAGCAAUGACAAGUGGGAUACCCCAUAGGGGGAAGAAAAACAAUAGCAGAUCAUUUAUUAGAGGAAAAUUUCUUGUUCUGAAUCCACUACAAAUAGAAAAAAUGGAUAGGAAGAGAUGAGGCAGUGGUCGCUGCAGGGUGUUGCUUUUCGUAUGCCAAUCUGGACGAAGCACAAACAUUCAGAAGACUCAACACACAAAAUAAAGAACUGCUAUCAACAUAUUAAAUA